CCCUUAGAUGUUCUGGGCUGCACGCGCGCUACACUGACAUGUCCAGCGAGCUCCCAACCUGCUCGGCAAAGAAUGGGUACCCUUUUUAACGCAUGUCGUGAUGGGGAUAGAUUAUUGCAAUUGUUGAUCUUGAACGAGGAAUUCCUAGUAAGUGCAAGUCAUUAGCUUGUGCUGAAUACGUCCCUGCCCUUUGUACACACCGCCCGUCGCUCCUACCGAUUGAAUGUGCCAGUGAAAAGUUCGGAUUGGAGAUAGGAAACGGCAACGUAUCCUAUUUCCGAGAAAAUCUUUAAACUUUCCCAUUUAGAGGAAGGAGAAGCCGUAACA
RNAcentral lists this ribosomal RNA (327 nucleotides) under uncultured eukaryote. RNAcentral's name for it is "partial 18S ribosomal RNA". It matches the Rfam family "Eukaryotic small subunit ribosomal RNA", at positions 1470 to 1796 of the family's 1831-position model. The record is from RNAcentral.